Molecule: ribosomal RNA, 222 nt
Filed under: uncultured bacterium
Lineage: Bacteria
Description: partial 16S ribosomal RNA
Rfam family: Bacterial small subunit ribosomal RNA
Source: RNAcentral
UACAGAGGGUGCGAACGUUGCUCGGAAUUACUGGGCGUAAAGCGCAUGUAGGCGGAUCCAUAAGUCGGGCGUGAAAUCCCCAGGCUCAACCUGGGAACUGCGCUCGAAACUGUGGGUCUCGAGUGUCGGAGAGGAUGGCGGAAUUCCUGGUGUAGAGGUGAAAUUCGUAGAUAUCAGGAGGAACACCGGGUGGCGAAGGCGGCCAAUCUGGACGACAACUGA